UACGUAGGGUGCGAGCGUUAAUCGGAAUUACUGGGCGUAAAGCGUGCGCAGGUGGCUGUGCAAGACAGAUGUGAAAUCCCCGGGCUUAACCUGGGAACUGCAUUUGUGACUGCAUAGCUAGAGUGCGGCAGAGGGGGAUGGAACUCCGCGUGUAGCAGUGAAAUGCGUAGAUAUGCGGAAGAACACCAAUGGCGAAGGCAGUCCCCUGGGCCUGCACUGACACUCAUGCACGAAAGCGUGGGGAGCAAACAGG
RNAcentral lists this ribosomal RNA (253 nucleotides) under uncultured bacterium. RNAcentral's name for it is "partial 16S ribosomal RNA". It matches the Rfam family "Bacterial small subunit ribosomal RNA", at positions 524 to 776 of the family's 1533-position model. The record is from RNAcentral.